RNAcentral lists this ribosomal RNA (454 nucleotides) under uncultured organism. Its description in RNAcentral is "partial 16S ribosomal RNA". It matches the Rfam family "Bacterial small subunit ribosomal RNA", at positions 331 to 801 of the family's 1533-position model. The record is from RNAcentral.
CUACACUCCUGCGGGAGGCAGCAGUGGGGAAUAUUGGACAAUGGGCGCAAGCCUGAUCCAGCCAUGCCGCGUGAGUGAUGAAGGCCCUAGGGUUGUAAAGCUCUUUCACCGGUGAAGAUAAUGACGGUAACCGGAGAAGAAGCCCCGGCUAACUUCGUGCCAGCAGCCGCGGUAAUACGAAGGGGGCUAGCGUUGUUCGGAUUUACUGGGCGUAAAGCGCACGUAGGCGGACUAUUAAGUCAGGGGUGAAAUCCCGGGGCUCAACCCCGGAACUGCCUUUGAUACUGGUAGUCUUGAGUUCGAGAGAGGUGAGUGGAAUUCCGAGUGUAGAGGUGAAAUUCGUAGAUAUUCGGAGGAACACCAGUGGCGAAGGCGGCUCACUGGCUCGAUACUGACGCUGAGGUGCGAAAGCGUGGGGAGCAAACAGGAUUAGAAACCCCGGUAGUCCCAUGAU